GCUGGGCGUGGUGGCCACACCUGUAAUCCCAGUGACUUGGGAGGCUGAAGCAGGAGGAUCAUGAGGUUAAGGCCAGCCUCAGCAACUCAAUGAGGCCUUAAGCAACUUAGUGAGACCCUGU
RNAcentral lists this small RNA (121 nucleotides) under Marmota monax (woodchuck). Lineage: Eukaryota; Metazoa; Chordata; Mammalia; Rodentia; Sciuridae. The record is from RNAcentral.